This 252-nucleotide ribosomal RNA is filed under the name uncultured bacterium. RNAcentral's name for it is "partial 16S ribosomal RNA". It matches the Rfam family "Bacterial small subunit ribosomal RNA", at positions 524 to 776 of the family's 1533-position model. The record is from RNAcentral.
UACGUAGGGUGCAAGCGUUGUCCGGAAUCAUUGGGCGUAAAGAGCUCGUAGGCGGUCUGUCGCGUCUGCUGUGAAAACCUGGGCUUAACCCCGGCUUGCAGUGGGUACGGGCAGACUAGAGUGCGGUAGGGGAGACUGGAAUUCCUGGUGUAGUGGUGAAAUGCGCAGAUAUCAGGAGGAACACCGGUGGCGAAGGCGGGGUCUCUGGGCCGUAACUGACGCUGAGGAGCGAAAGCAUGGGUAGCGAACAGG